GCAGAGUAGAUGUUUGUGCGUUAAGUGUUCCGGGAACGGGGAGUUGAUCCGGAAACGAAAAGGCGCGGGACACCAUCCGUCUCCUUGCGGUACAAACGUCGCAUCCCGCUGU
Molecule: non-coding RNA, 112 nt
Filed under: human gut metagenome
Description: THF riboswitch
Rfam family: THF (Tetrahydrofolate) riboswitch aptamer
About the family: THF riboswitch presents a pseudoknot that joins P1-P2 and the loop of P3 and two THF binding.
Source: RNAcentral